RNAcentral lists this small nuclear RNA (23 nucleotides) under Arabidopsis thaliana (thale cress). RNAcentral describes it as "snRNA_00549". Lineage: Eukaryota; Viridiplantae; Streptophyta; Magnoliopsida; Brassicales; Brassicaceae. The record is from RNAcentral.
AUCCCAAAUCUCACUAAUUACGG